RNAcentral lists this ribosomal RNA (301 nucleotides) under uncultured bacterium. Its description in RNAcentral is "partial 16S ribosomal RNA". It matches the Rfam family "Bacterial small subunit ribosomal RNA", at positions 509 to 807 of the family's 1533-position model. The record is from RNAcentral.
CAGCAGCCGCGGUAAUACGAAGGGGGCUAGCGUUGUUCGGAUUUACUGGGCGUAAAGCGCACGUAGGCGGACUUUUAAGUCAGGGGUGAAAUCCCGGGGCUCAACCCCGGAACUGCCUUUGAUACUGGAAGUCUUGAGUAUGGUAGAGGUGAGUGGAAUUCCGAGUGUAGAGGUGAAAUUCGUAGAUAUUCGGAGGAACACCAGUGGCGAAGGCGGCUCACUGGACCAUUACUGACGCUGAGGUGCGAAAGCGUGGGGAGCAAACAGGAUUAGAUACCCCGGUAGUCCCUGUCUCUUAUAC